CAGGCCUAACACAUGCAAGUCGUACGAGAAAGCCUUCGGGCGAGUAGAGUGGCGAACGGGUGAGUAACACGUGAGCAACCUGCCUUUGGAUUCGGGAUAACUCCUCGAAAGGGGGGCUAAUACCGGCUAAGACCACGGAGUCGAAUGGCUCAGAGGUAAAAGAUGGCCUCUUCAUGAAAGCUAUCGUCCAAAGAUGGGCUCGCGGUCCAUUAGCUUGUUGGUGGGGUAACGGCUCACCAAGGCGACGAUGGAUAGCCGACCUGAGAGGGUGAUCGGCCACACUGGGACUGAGAUACGGCCCAGACUCCUACGGGAGGCAGCAGUGGGGAAUUUUGCGCAAUGGGGGAAACCCUGACGCAGCGACGCCGCGUGGAGGAUGAAGGCCCUUGGGUUGUAAACUCCUGUCAGGAAGGACGAACGGCAGGGUAGUCAAUACCUGCCCUGUUUGACGGUACUUCCAGAGGAAGCUCCGGCUAACUCCGUGCCAGCAGCCGCGGUAAGACGGAGGGAGCAAGCGUUGCUCGGAAUCACUGGGCGUAAAGGGCGUGUAGGCGGGAUGGUCAGUCGGAUGUGAAAGCCCCGGGCUCAACCCGGGAAGUGCAUUCGAUACUGCCGUUCUUGAGUGUGGUAGAGGAGAGCGGAAUUCCUGGUGUAGCGGUGAAAUGCGUAGAUAUCAGGAAGAACACCUGUGGCGAAGGCGGCUCUCUGGACCAAUACUGACGCUGAGGC
Molecule: ribosomal RNA, 729 nt
Filed under: uncultured bacterium
Lineage: Bacteria
Description: bacterial SSU rRNA
Rfam family: Bacterial small subunit ribosomal RNA
Source: RNAcentral